RNAcentral lists this ribosomal RNA (588 nucleotides) under Staphylococcus pseudintermedius. Its description in RNAcentral is "partial 23S ribosomal RNA". It matches the Rfam family "Bacterial large subunit ribosomal RNA", at positions 604 to 1191 of the family's 2925-position model. Lineage: Bacteria; Bacillati; Bacillota; Bacilli; Caryophanales; Staphylococcaceae. The record is from RNAcentral.
CCUUUUGUAGAAUGAACCGGCGAGUUACGAUCUGAUGCAAGGUUAAGCAGAAAAUGUGGAGCCGUAGCGAAAGCGAGUCUGAAUAGGGCGAAUGAGUAUUUGGUCGUAGACCCGAAACCAGGUGAUCUACCCUUGGUCAGGUUGAAGUUCAGGUAACACUGAAUGGAGGACCGAACCGACUUACGUUGAAAAGUGAGCGGAUGAACUGAGGGUAGCGGAGAAAUUCCAAUCGAACUUGGAGAUAGCUGGUUCUCUCCGAAAUAGCUUUAGGGCUAGCCUCAAGUGAUGAUUAUUGGAGGUAGAGCACUGUUUGGACGAGGGGCCCCUCUCGGGUUACCGAAUUCAGACAAACUCCGAAUGCCAAAUAAUUUAACUUGGGAGUCAGAAUGUGGGUGAUAAGGUCCAUAUUCGAAAGGGAAACAGCCCAGACCACCAGCUAAGGUCCCAAAAUAUAUGUUAAGUGGAAAAGGAUGUGGCGUUGCCCAGACAACUAGGAUGUUGGCUUAGAAGCAGCCAUCAUUUAAAGAGUGCGUAAUAGCUCACUAGUCGAGUGACACUGCGCCGAAAAUGUACCGGGGCUAAACAUAU